GCAAGUCGAGGGGUAACGGAAGUAGCUUGCUACUAGACGACGACCGGCGCACGGGUGAGUAACGCGUAUGUAAUCUGCCUUGUACAGAGGGAUAGCCCAGAGAAAUUUGGAUUAAUACCUCAUAGUAUUACUGAAUCGCAUGAUUUGGUAAUUAAAGCUCCGGCGGUACAAGAUGAACAUGCGUGACAUUAGCUAGUUGGUAAGGUAACGGCUUACCAAGGCCACGAUGUCUAGGGGUUCUGAGAGGAUGAUCCCCCACACUGGUACUGAGACACGGACCAGACUCCUACGGGAGGCAGCAGUGAGGAAUAUUGGUCAAUGGACGCAAGUCUGAACCAGCCAUCCCGCGUGAAGGAUGACUGCCCUAUGGGUUGUAAACUUCUUUUAUAUGCAAAUAAACCUACUUUCGUGA
This 412-nucleotide ribosomal RNA is filed under the name uncultured bacterium. RNAcentral describes it as "bacterial SSU rRNA". It matches the Rfam family "Bacterial small subunit ribosomal RNA", at positions 57 to 463 of the family's 1533-position model. The record is from RNAcentral.